Choloepus didactylus (southern two-toed sloth) is the source of this 1340-nucleotide RNA transcript. It is a transcript of the gene named death-associated protein kinase 1-like, with no coding region annotated. The record is from RefSeq and is a predicted model, not a curated record. The transcript has 9 exons. Lineage: Eukaryota; Metazoa; Chordata; Mammalia; Pilosa; Megalonychidae.
GUAAAAUGCUUUGUCAGUGGAGAAAGCUGGAAGGUGGGACCCGGAGCCUGGGAGCCCAGCGGCUGCGAGUGUGUUUGCCCUGCCCUUGUGCACCUGCUCUCUGUGGUCAUCUUCACAUGUGGCUGUCCCUCGAGCGGCCUGGUGAGCUUACCCCGGGAAUGGCUUAGCACCUCCCGCCAGCUUCCCCGGGACCUGAGCACAGUGUGGACAUGAUGGACGUCACCAAGCAGAAGGACUGCUAGAUGAAGCUGAAGUUUUUGCACUACUACUACGGCACCAACCUGAAGCAGGUCAUCAAGUUCACCAGCCUCAAGUUCUGUGACACCAGAGCUGACAUGGUUUUGACCAAUGAUGGCUGUGAUUUCUGGGGUGGAGGCUGAGAUCUGCCAGUGUCCUUUUUGCCCGAGGACACUGAGACCUGAUUCUCAGCCGAAUGUCCAGCUUCAUGGAACCUCCUGACAUUAUAAAAAACAGCCUUUGGGAGAAAACUGCUGGCCUGAUGAUGCUUUGCUGGCUAAACUCAAAGUGCCCAAGUCCUGCCUGAUGUGUGUGAAGGACAGCUACACUGACUCCUGCAUUGGUUCAGGAGGUGUCUCUGCCUGGUUCCACCUGCUCAAGCCUAAGUGGGGCCUCCCCAUUUCUUGGAGACACAAAGCAAGAAAUGUUGGCAGAUGUGUCCACUGUCAACUAUGAAUUUGAGGACGAGUACUUCAGUAACACCAGUGCCCUCGCCAAAGAUUUCAUAAGAAGACUUCUGGUCAAGGAUCCAAAGAAGAGAAUGACAAUUCAAGAUAGUUUGCAGCAUCCCUGGAUCAAGGAUGAGGACGACUCCUUUGUGAUGAAAGCCAUCAUCCAUGCCAUCAGUGAUGACAACGUCCCAGGCUUGCAGCACCUUCUGGUUAACCAACCCAACAAGAGCCUUUUAAAUUGCAUUGUACCUCUACCCAUGAAACUGUAAACCUCCUCAUCCUGCAAAUGAAAAUGUCACCUUUGAUGGUGAAUCCAAAAGAGGAAGUGUCAUUGGAUUCUUCUGAGUGUCCCUUUCCUUUUAUGCAGCAGUAGCGUGGGACAUCUCUGUUACUGAUUGCUGCCGGCUGUGGGAAUAUUCAAAUACUACAGCUGCUCAUUAAAAGAGGCUUGAGGAUUGACGUCCAAGAUAAGGGCGGAUCCAAUGCCAUCUACUGGGCAUCUCGGCAUGGCCACGUAGAUACCUUGAAAUUUCUCAAUGAGAACAAAUGUCAUUUGGAUGUUAAAGACAAGGUAAGGUCACUUGUUUUCUUAGGGGAGACAGGAGGGAGUAAUAAAAGGAUGCAUUUGGGGGUAUGGUGUGCCAUGGGCAU